RNAcentral lists this ribosomal RNA (209 nucleotides) under uncultured bacterium. RNAcentral's name for it is "partial 16S ribosomal RNA". It matches the Rfam family "Bacterial small subunit ribosomal RNA", at positions 568 to 774 of the family's 1533-position model. The record is from RNAcentral.
CGCGUAGGUGGUCUGUCAAGUCGGGGGUGAAAUCUUUCGGCUCAACCGGAAAACUGCCUUCGAUACUGACAGGCUCGAGGGAGGUAGGGGUUGCGGGAACUACCAGUGGAGCGGUGAAAUGCGUUGAUAUUGGUAGGAACGCCGGUGGCGAAAGCGCGCAACUGGACCUCUUCUGACACUGAGUGCGCGAAAGCUAGGGGAAGCAAACG